UUUUUGAAAAUAAUUUAAAGUCUAAUCUGCCCACUGAUAUUAUAUUGAAGGGCUGCAGUAUUUUGACUGUACAAAGGUAGCAUAAUCAUUAGUCUCUUAAUUGGUGACUUGUAUGAAGGAUUUGAUGAAAUAUAAACUGUCUCAUUUUAAUUUAUUGAAUUUAAUUUUUUAGUUAAAAAGCUAAAAUUUAAUUAAAAGACGAGAAGACCCUAUAGAGUUUAAUAAUUUAAUUAAUUAUUAUUUUAUAUAAUUUUUUUUUUAUUAAUUAAUUAAAUUAUUUUGUUGGGGUGAUAGAAAAAUUGAAUUAACUUUUUAUAUAAAUUAACAUUAAUUUAUGAAUAAAUGAUCCGUAAUUUACGAUUAUAAGAAAAAAUUACCUUAGGGAUAACAGCGUAAUUUUUUUUUUUAGUUCAAAUAAGAAAAAGAGUUUGCGACCUCGAUGUUGGAUUAAGAUAAAAUUUAAAUGCAAAAGUUUAAAAUUUUUGAUCUGUUCGAUCAUUAAAAUCUUACA
This 511-nucleotide ribosomal RNA is filed under the name Archon apollinaris (little false apollo). RNAcentral describes it as "partial 16S ribosomal RNA". The stretch from base 384 to 511 matches the Rfam family "Bacterial large subunit ribosomal RNA", at positions 2473 to 2600 of the family's 2925-position model. Lineage: Eukaryota; Metazoa; Arthropoda; Insecta; Lepidoptera; Papilionidae. The record is from RNAcentral.